Molecule: long non-coding RNA, 1097 nt
Filed under: Equus caballus (horse)
Lineage: Eukaryota; Metazoa; Chordata; Mammalia; Perissodactyla; Equidae
Description: lncRNA (ENSECAG00000057900.1)
Source: RNAcentral
GGGCCUAAUGUAAUCACAGGCGUCCUUAUAAGAGGGAGCCAGGAGCAUCAGUCAGUCCUGAGAGAUAGGACUCAGCAGCUUAGAGUAGCACAGGGAAGGAGCCACGAGCCAAGGAAUACAAGGGGCCUUCAGAGCGGAAAAAGUCAAGGACACAAUUCUUCCCUGAAGCCUCCGGAAAGAAUGCAGCCCCACUGGCACCUUGACUGUAGACUUCUGACCUUCAGAACUGAUACUAAAUAUGAGCAAGGAGAUGUGCCAACAGUGAUGGAUGUUGGAAACAAUCUUGAGCUAGCAAAUAGCAUGAGGGAAUUGAAAUGUUUGAAAGAUGGGUUAUAUGGGAUGAAGAAAGAAAAAAAAGCAAUGUAUGAGAGUUCCUGUUGCUCUGUUUCCUUGACAGCAUCUGAUGUUAUCAGAGUUUUGCAUUUUGGCCAUUCUAAGAGGUGGAAGCAUAAAUCUGACCCAUUACUCCAUCUUUACUGGAAACAGAAGUCUAUCUAAUAGCACUUUUUUUAAUUUGAAGAAUUAAAGUAGAUGAUAAGGAAACGUGUUAUUCGUUAUGGCCACAUAUCUUCUCAUGAACUGGUAGAUUAAGAACCAUGCUCCUAAGAUGUGAAAUAUUUUGGCUACCAUUAAAAUUAAGAAAGGCAAUAGACAUAACUUGAACUAAUUUGAAGAAAGCCAAGACUUUUAUAAGACUACAUUUCUAAACUUAAAAGACAGUGUAGUGUGUCAAAGGGUGAAAUUCCUAACAGUGUGAAGUGGUGGCUUUAGCCAUUGAAGCAGCAUGGUAUCCUGAAGAUUGUCUUGUCAUGCUGGAAGGUCAGGUUCCAAAGGCUCACUAGAGAGGUUUCUCCCCACAGAGAAGGAAAGAAAGAGUGGCAGAAGUUUUCUGCACACUGUGAAGGUGACUUUGUUCUCAGUGUGAGAGCAGGGUGGUCACAGCUCUCUCAGCUGAACUUGCUGUAAGCCUAUCUAUAAUGCCUAGGCAGGGGGCGGAAAGGUGGGUUGGCUGUGGCCUUUUCUGCCCCCUCAUGACCUGAUAGCAUGAGUCUAGUGCUGACCAAAAUAAAGGAAAGAAGGACAAGGGACAAGAAAAA